This 84-nucleotide transfer RNA is filed under the name Bacteroidota bacterium. RNAcentral describes it as "tRNA-Leu". It matches the Rfam family "tRNA". From Rfam's summary of the family: Transfer RNA (tRNA) molecules are approximately 80 nucleotides in length. Lineage: Bacteria; Pseudomonadati; Bacteroidota. RNAcentral also lists the same sequence under 1 other name. The record is from RNAcentral.
GCCCAGAUGGUGGAAUUGGUAGACACGCCAGCUUGAGGGGCUGGUGUCCGUAUGGAUGUGCAAGUUCGAAUCUUGUUCUGGGCA